Molecule: long non-coding RNA, 4233 nt
Filed under: Salvia miltiorrhiza (redroot sage)
Lineage: Eukaryota; Viridiplantae; Streptophyta; Magnoliopsida; Lamiales; Lamiaceae
Description: long non-coding RNA (SMIL_LNC004869)
Source: RNAcentral
UGCGAGUCUGGAACUCGACACCGAUAGUAGCCUUAGAAUCCAAGCUGAACUCGUUGCGAGAGAAACGCGAAAGUAUUUGGGAUUUCCCGACGGCGGAGUCGCCGAUCAACACCACCUUGAACACGUAAUCUGUUUUCUGGUUCGAGCUGCCAUAUCCCCCACCACUAGCCAUUUCACUCCACUUUCUGUCUCUGUCUGUGUCUGCGUAGUGAGAGAGAGAGAGAGAGAGAGAGCGAAAUCGAGUUAGAGAGAUUUUUUGGACAGAGACCGAAAUCAAUGGGACUUAAUCUUAUGCGGUAAUUUAUUGUUAAUUUAUUCUCCUUCUUACAUUACCAUUUUUGUUUUCCUCAAAUAUUCUUUUAUGAUAACUGUAUAUUUUUAUGUAAAGAGAUGCAGGUACUAAAAUAUUGUGCUACAGCUAGUAGCCUUAAUUACUUGGGAAACCAAGCAGAAACAAUGUCCAUGUUAUGUCUAAAUUUAAAGGGUAAAUAUUAGUUUAAAUUUCAAAUUAUUUUGCCUAUUAAUUAUAUUUGAAUUAUUAAAAUUAAUUUUUUAAAUUUUAAUUAUUGAUUUUGUAUCAAUUAUUAUUAUCGUCAUUUCUUUCUCAAAAAAACCAAAACUGAAACAAUAUAACGAUCUAUUAAUCUUCUAAAAACAGGGAAAGUGAAUAAUGAAAGAUUGUUCAGCAAAAAAGUAGGGAAUAGCGAAAGGAGAUACAACUCCGAGAUUCAGAAUAACAACGAAAAAACAACCACCCAUCAGUCCCAACUACCGUUUCUUACGCAGAUGGCUAUGCGAAGCCAUGUCAAGGCGAACUGCAGCCCUAAUCUCCUCAAUCUCGUGCGGCCACCACCCUUCUGAACGUUGUUGGUUAGCCAUAAUAUCUGCCGUCCUUGUUUCCUUCCUAAAGAUGUGAGAGACCUGCAGCGAGAAAGCAUCUAACAUCUUUAGAGUCCUAUUCCACGCCGCCUGAAAACGCCAAGGCACAUUAAAAGACGAGUAUUAAGAAUUGAUAUCACGUAGGUGGAAUCGGCUUCAAUCCAAAGCUUGUGCCAACCACGAUUGUGAGCAAUUUGAAUCGCCGAGAUAACAGCCAUGAGUUCCGCUUCAAAGGCAAAACCCGAGCCACCUUUGAAGUGAAAACAACCACGCACCACAUUCCAGUUAUCUCUAAACACCCCACCUGCAGCAAUAGUGCCCGGAGCUCCCGUCGCUGAGCCAUCAGUAUUCACUUUGAUCCACGGCGCCACUGGUGGCCACCAAUGCACCUCAACAAACUCCGGAGGAGGAGCACUCCUGGUAGUAACACCCACUGCCCGAAGAAUCAGAUAAUCUGACUAAGAAUUCGACAUGUAACCUAAUUUAGGAAAGUUAUCAUCAAUCUCUUUGAAAGCAACUUUGACAGUGUGGAUGACACGACUUGCUUCGAACUUUUGAUUAUCAAAGAUACAAUUGUUUCUCUGCAUCCAGAUGGCCCAGAUGACCGUGAUGAUACCAGCUUUCCAAAAAUUACCGGUGAGGGGACUAAGUUUAUACUGCAAGCUGACCAACCAAAAACUAUGAAUAUCAUUCUCUUGCAACCCUUGCGUGAAAUUGAACCACCCAAGAAACGUAGCCCAAAUAUUCUGCACACGCUCACAAUUCCAGAAAAGGUGAUCCUGAGACUCACUUCCUUUUAAACAAAGCAAACAGACGUUAGGCGUGAUCAUACCGUAGCGGAUAAGGCGAUCAUAAGUCGGUACUCUAUUAUGAAGAAGACGCCAACAGAUCAAAGAGCGUCGAAUCGAAAUAAAAGAUUCCCAGAUUUUGUAUCAAUUAUAUUAUUUCGUUCAUUUUCUUUUGCUCCAAAAAUUUACUUUAGCUAGCUCACGAUGUGAAUUUUUUUUGACCUACAUUAUAUAAAACGACUUGAUUAUAUGUCUUACUAAAUAAAAAAUAAAAGGGUGAAAAAUGAAUAAAUGAUACAAUUGGUACAAAAUUGAUGGUUCAAGGUUCAAAAAAUCAUUUUCGAUAGUUCAUGAUAUAAUUGAUAGUGUGAAAAUAGUUUGAGGUUUAAAGAGAUAUUUAACCAAAUUUAAAGGGUAAAUAUCAAUUUUUUACACAUCGUUUGAGCGUUUUUUUUCAAAAAUAUCUCACCUUAAGUGUAAUUAUAAAUAAUAUCCACCAUUUUAAUUUUUUAAUUUAUGACCCGCAAAAUAAUUCGACAAUCGAUAAUUGACGUAUUUCGACCAAGUGGCACGUUGGCAGUACACGUGAUUUAAAAAAAAUAAUGAAAAUCCACUUAUUUGGAAAACGGGUGUGAAGAAUCAUCGAGAAAAACGAUUUCUUCCUUGAACCCUCACAUUCCCCCUUCAUUCCCUCAUUCAAAUUCAGAUGCCACAACUCUAAAACCUUACCAUACCCUCCCAUCAGUGUCGACCACCACACCACUGGCGCCACAACUCUACCUCAUCAUCCAAUGCCUCCCUCAACAAAGUUGACACUCUCAGCCACAACAUGAAACUUUCCCAAACUCUCACUCACCACACAUCUCUGUUAGAACCGGGUACACGAUCGAGAUAUUACAAAAUAAAUAUUUUGAGAAAUUACGACUCAAAAUAAUUGAAAAUAUUACAAAGUAAAUAAUUUGAGAAAUUACAACUCAAAUAAUUUGAUACAACUAAAAUACACUGUAUAAAUAAAUUAUACGUAUAGACUAAGUCGAGUCGAGAUAAAUCUCUUCCCGCAAGAAGAUUAUCGCCCCGGUAGUGCUCUUCGGUUUAGGCGUAUCUUCCCCAAAGGUAAAACGACUUCGUCUCGUCGGAUGUAGCACCACAAUCCGGCGAGCUCCGGCGANACCUUAGGUAGAACUUUCCCCUGGAACUGCUUGCUUAUAGGAAGAUGGUGCCCAGAACACAAGUACCCCUAACAAUUGCUAUGUGAGACAAAAGACUACCUUCUAAAACUUUCCCUCAAGUCAAGUGUGCCAUCUAAACCAAACCCAUCAUAGCCUAUAAAACAGGUGCUCCGAUACCUUGUUAAAUGGUCCCUGGUCCUUGUACAUGAUUCAACCUACAAAAGUAGCUAGUCAUCUUAUAUCUCCAUGACUUUCCCCAUCCUUAUAGCCACAAAUACAUUUUCAUUAUUUCCUGAAUUUGAAAUUUGUGAUUUUUGAAGAUUUAGAUAUCUAAAAGAAAUGCAAGAAAUGAUUAUAAUAUAAUUUGUAUAUAUAUGAAUGCAUAUAUGAUAUUUGUAAAUAACUAUGUACCAAAGAUUUACACAUACAUACAUAUAUAUAUAUAGAGAGAGAGAGUCAGUGUGUGUGUAGUGAAUCCUCACCUCAUUGGCAACCUAGUCAAAGCAACAAACUAUAAUAUGCAGCCAUUCAUAUAAAUUUGAUCCAGUCAUAAGAUCAUCACUGCUGUUUGCCUGUGACUAGAUAUUGGUCUUACCCCAAGAAUUGGCAAUGCAAGACUCUUUACCAGCCCCAUUAAUUAUCUUUUACAACUAAACAUACAUACGAAACAGAGGACUUUAUUUUUGAGCGACUGAGAAUAUUCACCAAACCCGAUCUCAACUACUAAUCAGCAAUUCCUCAUUUGGCAUACAUAAACAACUCUUUCACAACAGAAUUUAAAAAUAACAUGGAUUGCCUUCCCAACAAACAUCAACUUCACAUCAAAUCAAACAGCUCAGUAUCAAAGCUACCAACUCAGCCUCUUCAGAAUUGUAAAAUUCGCAAUAACUACAACAUCGAACUUAAAAACCUAAUCUAAGAGCUCAAUUUCGUGCAUCUAGCUAAAUCCUAAACCAAUAAAACUCAGAAAAUCAAAUGGAUCCAGCACAUACACAAAUCUACCUCUCUUGGCCAGCGGUGUCCCAGAUCUGAGCUUUGACGGACUUGUGCUGUAUAACCAUGGUGCGAGUCUGGAACUCGACACCGAUAGUAGCCUUAGAAUCCAAGCUGAACUCGUUGCGAGAGAAACGCGAAAGUAUUGGGAUUUCCGACGGCGGAGUCGCCGAUCAACACCACCUUGAACACGUAAUCUGUUUCUGGUUCGAGCUGCCAUAUCCCCCACACUAGCCAUUUCACUCCACUUUCUGUCUCUGUCUGUGUCUGCGUAGUGAGAGAGAGAGAGAGAGAGAGCGAAAUCGAGUUAGAGAGAUUUUUUGGACAGAGACCGAAAUCAAUGGGACUUAAUCUUAUGCGGUAAUUUAUUGUUAAUUUAUUCUCCUUCUUACAUUACCAUUUUU